Molecule: long non-coding RNA, 275 nt
Filed under: Chlamydomonas reinhardtii
Lineage: Eukaryota; Viridiplantae; Chlorophyta; Chlorophyceae; Chlamydomonadales; Chlamydomonadaceae
Description: long non-coding RNA (CREI_LNC001400)
Source: RNAcentral
GUGCCCGCGCGUCAUCGGCAUCCAGGGCCUCACGACAGUCAAGUAGUGGUGGAGCUGGAGGGCGCCAUUGGGUCCAGACCUUAGGCGGGGUGCGACGGAGGCUGCAGGUUGUGGCGUGUGUGUGUGGGGGGGGGGGGCCAAGCCUCCAGACACCCAGCGGCCUGGGCAGGACAGCUCAAUGCCCUCAGGACCCGUGUACAUGCAUGGAAGAUCGAAUGAUAUUUAAUGGCACUCGGGAGUGAGCAACAGUCUUGCGGCCGCAGGCUAGGUACUUC